CAACAUCUUCAUCACCAAGAUGCUUCAUCGAUUGAAUUUUCCCUUUUAGCUCUUCAAAUACUAUUUCCAAUUGCUCCAGAGAUGCCAACACGUGAGAACCGUUUGCACUCUUUCAGGAAAAGAACUUGAUUCAAAGUUUCUGCAUUAUUCAAUUCCUCUACUUUCUGCUCGAGCUCUUCAUUCAUCUCUUUCAUCUUCUUUUGAAAAGCUGUGACAUAUUCAUCACCAAGAUGCUUCAUGAUUAAGUUUUCCCUUUUAGCUCCUCAAUUACCAUUUCCAAGUGCUCCAGAGAUGCCAACACAGAUGAACCGUUUCUCUUAUCAUUCUACAGAAAAACACAAAGAUAAAUAUAUCAUCAAUUGCUGAGCAGAAAACAUAAUCAAACAUAAAAAAUAUGCACCAGUCUUUUUUCUUGAAGACAAAACACUUCAUGAUUAAACAAGACAACUCUAAACAUUUUCUUCUCUUCAUCAAGCUUUUGUCUUUCAAGCUUAAUUAGUGCUUCACAUUUGUCCAAUUCUUUGCUUCAGCAUUCAAGAUUCCUCUUCUUAGCCUUCAGUUCAUCUUUCAGAUUUUUCACCUCUUUCAACAAUUAUAAUGUUCAGGCUGCAGCAUUUUCAUUCUAUCUGAUGGACAAUUGGAAACAAUCAUGUAUCAAACCUUACCUAUCUCAUGGAUAAAAUAUUUUUGAACCAUAUACUUAAACCAAUGAACAAUUUGGAUCAACAUUGAGCAUAACAAUCAAGGAGAUCAGGUAGAGUUUAAUCUCUACCCAAGGCAAGAAACGCUUCCGAAAACUACAUCUAGAUUACGGUCCACCUGCAUACCCAUGAAGAUGGAAACGUUCUUGCUACAAAUAGUACACCUUGACAAUUUAUCCUCAACCACCACUAAGUAGCCAUUAAACUUGGUGGCGUCAAGAAUGCUUCCUCACAACAACCAAGUAUCAAAAAUCUUAAAUGAAAACUACAAAUCAACUUUUUUUAAAUGGAGGGUAAUAUCAAAAGCCAUUAGGAGGAGAACAUGAAAUAAAUAAGACUUAAAUAGAAGUGGGCAGCCUGCCUUUACUGGCAGCAACCUAAGACAGAUGUUGGAGAACUAGGUUUUCUUGAGAGACAGGUUGAAGAGCUAGGUUUUUCUAGGGAGAAAUAGAGUGGGGAUUGGAGAACAUUUACCAUCCUUAGCAUGCAGAAUCAACAGCAGCAACGUUUUUUUUUUCGGUUACAAUAGUUAGAAACAAACAUGAUAAAAAUAGAAGGCACGCAACUAGCAAGCAUCAAUUAAUCAAAUGACAGAAAUCUAAGAAGUUCUAAUCUUUAAAUAGAAGCAAGCCGAUGUGUCACACAUUUUCACUUCUAACAUCAAGCUACCUUCUCAAGGCAUUUAAUACUGGGAAUACUAGGAUUCAAUGAUGUUAUGCUCCUUCAAGUUUACCAAAGUAUCAAGUGUUUAGAACUUCAAACCAAUUGCAUUUACUGCCCAAUUAUUCAUAGCCGUAAAAUGACACAAUGACAAUGAUAAAAUCAUUCCUAGCUACACAAGGGGAAAAAACAACUUAUUGAUGAAACCUUGAUUAUUCUGUCAUUGUGCCUCUGACAGGGAAUAAGCUCAUUAGAUGGACUUAUCCAGGACCAAUUUGCCAAUUGUCAUCAUCUAUUAACUUCAUCAUAUAAUAGCAUUUUAUUUUGUCAUCAAUUUGAUAGAGAUGCUAAUGUUGCAGGUCCUGGUGCUAUUGUUUCCACAGGCUCAAGGUAAUUCAAAGUUUAUUCUAGAAGCAAGAGGGCGGAAAAAGCCAAGGUAAUUGCAGCACAGGUGCUAAUGACUGUUGA
Molecule: unclassified non-coding RNA, 1829 nt
Filed under: Hevea brasiliensis (rubber tree)
Lineage: Eukaryota; Viridiplantae; Streptophyta; Magnoliopsida; Malpighiales; Euphorbiaceae
Source: RNAcentral